CUUCGUUGACCUCGAAAACUAUCCUCUCAUCAAGAUCUUCGAUGCGCUGCACUCUGCGAGGAACCAUAAAUUUGAAAAAUAUGUAAGUAUUCCCUCGCUUCUUGCAUAGCUGCAUCAAAGCAUCUUCUAUGUCCAUCUUGGGAUUUGGCAGCUCUGACAGAUCAAGUUGUGGGUACAAAAUUUGAAUUGCAUUCCAACAAAAGCUAUAGCCGGAAUGAUGUUCGACAAUAAAGAUCGUGUGGAUCAUUGACUAAGAACUGUCCAUUAGCUGCUCAUGAUAUUGAGAGGAAGAAGCUCUUUCUCUUCCUGU
This 310-nucleotide long non-coding RNA is filed under the name Elaeis guineensis (African oil palm). Its description in RNAcentral is "long non-coding RNA (EGUI_LNC012307)". Lineage: Eukaryota; Viridiplantae; Streptophyta; Magnoliopsida; Arecales; Arecaceae. The record is from RNAcentral.